Molecule: long non-coding RNA, 422 nt
Organism: Homo sapiens (human)
Lineage: Eukaryota; Metazoa; Chordata; Mammalia; Primates; Hominidae
Gene: CDIPTOSP
Product: CDIP transferase opposite strand, pseudogene
Source: Ensembl
ACCCUACGUCAUCCUCCCAAGCUUCUCAAGCGUCUGGCGCUUGGGGUCACUGCCCUCAAGGAGGCACCUGGAGGGGGGGAUGGCGUCCACUCCGAUGGGGAAUGAGGGGGAGAAGAAGAGCAGCUGGCCAUCUCAAGCUGCACCCUCCUUGAGAGGAGCAUUCUUCACCAAGACCUGAGGCACAGACACCUGGUGAGUGAGGCUUCAAGGGAGAUGCUCUUUGUCCUGGGAGAGAGAACAUGCCUCAAAACUACUCUUUUGCCACUCGUUAACCACUUCCGUUUGUGGGGACCUCCUGGUCAUGAGCAGCAUCAUCCCGAAGCCUUCAAAGUGUUCUGGAUUCAUCACAGGACCCUCCAGCCUCAGCCAGCAAGGAUACCACCAGGAAUGAAAGUGCUUUAAUAAAGAGACAGGGUGUGCAU